RNAcentral lists this ribosomal RNA (389 nucleotides) under Thoracosphaeraceae sp. Its description in RNAcentral is "partial small subunit ribosomal RNA". It matches the Rfam family "Eukaryotic small subunit ribosomal RNA", at positions 582 to 975 of the family's 1831-position model. The record is from RNAcentral. Lineage: Eukaryota; Dinophyceae; Thoracosphaerales; Thoracosphaeraceae.
AUUCCAGCUCCAAUAGCGUAUAUUAAAGUUGUUGCGGUUAAAAAGCUCGUAGUUGGAUUUCUGCUGAGGACGACCGGUCCGCCCUCUGGGUGAGUAUCUGGCUUGGCCUUGGCAUCUUCUUGGAGAACGUAGCUGCACUUGACUGUGUGGUGCGGUAUCCAGGACUUUUACUUUGAGGAAAUUAGAGUGUUUCAAGCAGGCACACGCCUUGAAUACAUUAGCAUGGAAUAAUAAGAUAGGACCUUGGUUCUAUUUUGUUGGUUUCUAGAGCUGAGGUAAUGAUUGAUAGGGAUAGUUGGGGGUGCUAGUAUUGAGCGGCCAGAGGUGAAAUUCUUGGAUUUAUGGAAGACAAACUAAUGCGAAAGCAUCUACCAAGGAUGUUUUCAUCA